RNAcentral lists this transfer RNA (68 nucleotides) under Marmota monax (woodchuck). Its description in RNAcentral is "tRNA.Ala". The record is from RNAcentral. Lineage: Eukaryota; Metazoa; Chordata; Mammalia; Rodentia; Sciuridae.
GCAGUGGCUUGGUGAUAGAGCGCUCGCCUAGCACACGUGAGGCACUGGGUUCAAACCUCAGCACUGCA